GACGUAGGAUGCAAGCGUUAUCCGGAAUUAUUGGGCGUAAAGAGUUCGUAGACGAACUGUUAAGUAGAAUGUUAAAGACCAGGGCCUAACCCUGGCAAGGUGUUCUAAACUGGCAGAAUAGAGCAAUUCAGAGGCAAGUGGAAUUCUGUGUGUAGGGGUAAUAUCCGUAGAUAUACAGAGGUACACCAAAAGCGAAGGCAGCUUGCUGGGAAUUUGCUGACGUUCAAGAACGAAAGCGUGGGUAGCAAACAGG
RNAcentral lists this ribosomal RNA (253 nucleotides) under uncultured bacterium. RNAcentral's name for it is "partial 16S ribosomal RNA". It matches the Rfam family "Bacterial small subunit ribosomal RNA", at positions 524 to 776 of the family's 1533-position model. The record is from RNAcentral.